Cynara cardunculus var. scolymus (artichoke) is the source of this 3330-nucleotide RNA transcript. It is a transcript of the gene named pentatricopeptide repeat-containing protein At4g30700, with no coding region annotated. NCBI's taxonomy places the organism in Eukaryota, Viridiplantae, Streptophyta, Magnoliopsida, Asterales, Asteraceae. The record is from RefSeq and is a predicted model, not a curated record. The transcript is spliced from 6 exons.
CCAGUCCAGUAGUGCUCUCCCUCCUUCCCUGCAAACAUCAGUUCUUUCUCACUCUCACUGCUCUCUCGACCUCUGGCCUUCUGACCAGUCGUCACUUUGCUUCUCUGCCCUACCUCUCCUCUCUUCUGGCUACUGCUGGACUCCGUGUAGGAUCAAGUUUGUAAUCUAUAAUUUUGGAAAACUGAGGCAAGACCAAGGGUAUUCAUUCUCGUGUUAGGAGGAAGUUUAAAGGAGUAUUUUUGUAACUUCUUUAUCAAAAAUAUUUCCCCAAUGUCUUCCCUGCCAAACACAAAACCAAAAAGCAGAUGAUUUGCAGAGCCUUAGCAAAGCGUGAUCGGAACUUCUUCCUAAACUUGAUCACCAAAGCCACCAAUCAAUCCCAUCUUCGCCAAACCCACGCCCAAAUCAUCCUCAAUGGUCUAAAUACUGACUUAGCCACCGUCACAAAGCUCGUUCAAAAACUCUCCGACCUCGCCGCCAUCUCCGAUGCAACCCUCAUAUGUUCCAACUUUCCCAACCCUGAUCUUUUUCUCUACAAUGUUAUAAUCAGAGGAUUUUCUCGUAACAAUAACCACUCGAAUUCUCUGUUCAUCUACCGCCAACUGCGUGAAAACACUGCUCUUAAGCCAGAUAAUUUUACUUAUGCAUUCGUUAUUUCUGCUGCAUCGAAGCUUUUGCGUAAUAAAGUAGGCUUGUCUCUGCAUGGGCAUGCCAUUGUUGGUGGAGCUGGAUUGGAUUUAUUUGUUGGGUCUGCCAUAGUCGAUAUGUAUUUGAAUUUUGGUAAGGUGGGGUACGCAUACAAGGUGUUUGAUGGAAUUCCUGAACCAGAUACUGUUCUGUGUAAUACUAUGAUAUCAGGGUCAGUUAAGAACGGUUGCUUUGACGAGUCGAUACAAGUUUUUAAAAACAUGAUUUUGAGAGGAACUCCAUUCGAUUCCACCACUUUUGCCGCUACUCUUACGGCUGCUGCAGAGUUGCAAGAGUUGAAAGUUGGAAUGGCAAUCGAGUGUUUGUCGAUUAAGCUUGGAUUUCAUUGGCAUGCUCAUGUUCUUACGGGUCUUAUAUCAUUAUAUGCAAAAUGUGGGGAUAUGUCAACAGGAGAACGUUUGUUUGAGCAGAUCAAACACCCGGAUAUAAUAGCUUACAAUGCUAUGAUUUCUGGGUUCAAUUGUAACCAAGAAAUGGAGUCCGCUAUUGCCCUCUUUAGAGAGUUGUUAGUUUCGCAUCAGAGAGUCAAUUCAAGUACUAUGGUUGGUUUGAUCCCUGUGUUUCAUCCCUUUCGUCAUUUGAUUCUUUCAAGUAUAAUCCAUUGUUUUUGUUUGAAAUACGGUUUGAUUUCGAAAACUUCAGUUGCAACCGCAUUGGUAACAGUCUACAGUCGACUUAAUGAGAUUGAUCCAGCAAGAAAGCUAUUUGAUGAAUCCUCAGAUAAAAGCUUAGCAGCUUGGAAUGCAAUGAUUUCUGGUUAUGCUCAAAAUGGAGUAACAGAUAAGGCAAUUGCGCUCUUCCAAGAGAUGCAGAAACUCAACAUACCUCCAAAUCCUACAACGAUCACCAGUAUUCUUUCGGCAUGUGCUCAGCUUGGUGCUCUAAGUCUAGGAAAAUGGGUUCAUGAUUUAGCAAGCAAGGAGAACUUUAAGUCCAAUAUAUACGUUUCAACUGCCUUAAUUGAUAUGUAUGCCAAAUGUGGAAGCAUAGAAGAGGCUCGUCAAGUAUUUGACACCAUGCCUGAAAAGAAUGCAGUGACAUGGAACGCUAUGAUCUCUGGUUAUGGUCUCCAUGGCCAUGCUCAUGAGGCACUCCAGAUUUUUGACAAAAUGGUGGAUUCAAAAGUACCCUUAAGCGGGGUUAGUUUCGUUUCUGUAUUAUAUGCUUGUAGCCAUGCUGGAUUGGUGAAAGAAGGAGAAGAGAUUUUCUAUGCAAUGGUCCAAGAUCAUGGGUUCGAACCCUUAUCCGAGCAUUACGCUUGUAUGGUUGACCUUCUUGGUCGAGCUGGAGAACUACAAAAAGCUUUGGACUUUAUCAAGAAAAUGCCCAUCGAGCCAGGUCCAGCCAUAUGGGGUGCACUUCUUAGCGCCUGCAAGACUCACAAGAACACCGAACUAGCACGACUAGCAUCAGAUAAGUUGUUUGAAUUGGAUCCAGAAAAUGUAGGUUAUCAUGUCUUACUCUCCAACAUACACACUGCUGAUAAAAACUAUGAUGAGGCUGCUUCAGUUAGACAGGUGGUCAAGAAUCGAAAUCUUGCAAAGACUCCCGGAUGCACUCUAAUAGAAAUCGACAAAAUCCCACAUGUAUUCACAUCUGGACAACGAUCCCACCAAAAAACAGAAGCAAUUUAUGGGAAGCUGGAGAAAUUGAUGGGUAAGAUGAGGGAAGCUGGAUAUCAGACAGAUACUAUGACAGCAUUGCAUGAUGUUGAGGAGGAAGAGAAGGAAUUAAUGGUGAAGGUUCAUAGUGAGAAAUUGGCCAUUGCUUAUGGACUUAUGAACACAAAAAGAGGAAGUGAGAUCAGGAUCAUAAAAAACCUUAGAGUGUGCAUAGACUGUCAUAACUUUACCAAAUUUAUAUCCAAGAUUACUGAAAGAGUUAUUGUUGUGAGGGAUGCCAAUAGGUUUCAUCAUUUUAAAGAUGGUCAAUGUUCUUGUGGAGAUUACUGGUGAAGGGAUUGUCUUCAUAGACAUUUUCUCAUUUCGAAGACUUUCAACCACUGUGCUUGAUCACGUUACGCAUUCCUGGAUGGCAACCCCAACGAUCAACUUGCAGGGUUAAGAAGAUUACUUGGCUUGAGGUGAUUGGAGUCCACAUAAACUGUUAAGGGUUUGGAAUGUAUAGCAGGUUGAACCAUGUGGCAUUGCUUAGUUAAGACCAUCUUUACUGUGUUAAAAGGAUCUGAAGAAGAAAGAGACAAGUUAACAUCUUAUGAAAUGAGAGGAUAGUGCAGUUCUAUGGGAAUAGCCGCUCCCAACAAGAGAAGCAGAUUACAAUAUACUUGAUGAAGGGUUAGGGAAACACUAAUCGAGCAAGUGCUGCAUUGCAAGGAUUGCUCUUAGGUUCGCGCACUUGGAAACAACACCUUUGCAUAGAGAUCUUUUACCAGCUGAAUUGUGAAAAGAAGCAACGACUUUUCAAGUUCAGAUCUCUCUUUUUUCCUUCUCUUCAUCACCUUAUUUUGGUAUGAUACCUGCAUUUUUUUAAUUUGCAUUGAAUGUUUACGGGUACAAUAUCAACUUGUGGAAUUAGCAGCAGAGACGGAACCAGGAAUUUUGGUGAGGGUGAGCAAAUACAUAAUGUCAUCAUAUUGAUGAAAUAAUCAUAUAAACGUAAGAA